RNAcentral lists this ribosomal RNA (484 nucleotides) under uncultured bacterium. RNAcentral describes it as "partial 16S ribosomal RNA". It matches the Rfam family "Bacterial small subunit ribosomal RNA", at positions 30 to 507 of the family's 1533-position model. The record is from RNAcentral.
AUUGAACGCUGGCGGCAUGCCUUACACAUGCAAGUCGAACGGCAGCACGGGUGCUUGCCCCUGGUGGCGAGUGGCGAACGGGUGAGUAAUACAUCGGAACAUGUCCUGUAGUGGGGGAUAGCCCGGCGAAAGCCGGAUUAAUACCGCAUACGAUCUACGGAUGAAAGCGGGGGCCCUUCGGGCCUCGCGCUAUAGGGUUGGCCGAUGGCUGAUUAGCUAGUUGGUGGGGUAAAGGCCUACCAAGGCGACGAUCAGUAGCUGGUCUGAGAGGACGACCAGCCACACUGGGACUGAGACACGGCCCAGACUCCUACGGGAGGCAGCAGUGGGGAAUUUUGGACAAUGGGCGAAAGCCUGAUCCAGCAAUGCCGCGUGUGAAGAAGGCCUUCGGGUUGUAAAGCACUUUUGUCCGGAAAGAAAUCCUUGGCCCUAAUACGGUCGGGGGAUGACGGUACCGGAAGAAUAAGCACCGGCUAACUACGUG